RNAcentral lists this ribosomal RNA (594 nucleotides) under uncultured bacterium. Its description in RNAcentral is "bacterial SSU rRNA". It matches the Rfam family "Bacterial small subunit ribosomal RNA", at positions 332 to 922 of the family's 1533-position model. The record is from RNAcentral.
GCCCUUCCUACGGGAGGCAGCAGUGAGGAAUAUUGGACAAUGGAGGCAACUCUGAUCCAGCCAUGCCGCGUGCAGGAUGACUGCCUUAUGGGUUGUAAACUGCUUUUAUAGAGGAAGAGCUUCUCCAACGUGUUGGGGAUCGACGGUACUCUACGAAUAAGGAUCGGCUAACUUCGUGCCAGCAGCCGCGGUAAUACGAAGGAUCCAAGCGUUAUCCGGAAUUAUUGGGUUUAAAGGGUCCGCAGGCGGGCUAAUUAGUCAGCGGUGAAAUCUUUCGGCUUAACCGGGAGCUUGCCGUUGAAACUGUUAGUCUAGAGUAGUUGUGUUGUGGUUGGAACGUGCAGUGUAGUGGUGAAAUACAUAGAUAUUGCGCAGAACACCGAUUGUGAAGACAGAUCACAAACAAUUUACUGACGCUGAUGGACGAAAGCGUGGGGAGCAAACAGGAUUAGAUACCCUGGUAGUCCACGCCGUAAACGAUGGUCACUAGUUGUCCGGUCUAAUUGAGGACUGGGUGAUUGAGCGAAAGUAUUAAGUGACCCACCUGGGGAGUACGUUCGCAAGAAUGAAACUCAAAGGAAUUGACGGAAGGGC